AUGAGCAGCGGCAACAAUGGCACCGCCGGCCGCGGCUCGACCACGACACCGCCGAGGCCGCACUGGAGGAGAAGGGACCCUACGGCCACCGUCGUCUACGUCGUGCCACCUUCCCAGUUCCGCAGCGUCGUGCAGCAACUCACCGGCGCCGCGUCGUCCAACACGGCAUCAUCCGCCGCUCAACGUUACAUUGUUGCGCCCUGCGUCGUCCACGCCAGCGCGGGCCAUGCGGCGGCGGGGCGUCGUGCUGAAGUUGGUACUGGCAGUAACCCCACGACUACAACGACGAUGAGGCAGAUGUUGGAGGAGUGCAUGGCCUGGGCUUCCGACGACCAUGACGAGAACUAG
Molecule: ribosomal RNA, 348 nt
Filed under: Triticum aestivum (bread wheat)
Lineage: Eukaryota; Viridiplantae; Streptophyta; Magnoliopsida; Poales; Poaceae
Description: partial small subunit ribosomal RNA
Source: RNAcentral